RNAcentral lists this ribosomal RNA (1700 nucleotides) under Campylobacter jejuni. RNAcentral describes it as "partial 23S ribosomal RNA". It matches the Rfam family "Bacterial large subunit ribosomal RNA", at positions 1244 to 2925 of the family's 2925-position model. Lineage: Bacteria; Pseudomonadati; Campylobacterota; Epsilonproteobacteria; Campylobacterales; Campylobacteraceae. The record is from RNAcentral.
UUUGCGUCGAAGGUAUACCGGUAAGGAGUGCUGGAGCGAAUAGAAGUGAGCAUGCAGGCAUGAGUAGCGAUAAUUAAUGUGAGAAUCAUUAACGCCGUAAACCCAAGGUUUCCUACGCGAUGCUCGUCAUCGUAGGGUUAGUCGGGUCCUAAGUCGAGUCCGAAAGGGGUAGACGAUGGCAAAUUGGUUAAUAUUCCAAUACCAACAUUAGUGUGCGAUGGAAGGACGCUUAGGGCUAAGGGGGCUAGCGGAUGGAAGUGCUAGUCUAAGGUCGUAGGAGGUUGUACAGGCAAAUCCGUAUAACAAUACUUCGAGAACUGAAAGGCUUUUUGAAGUCUUCGGAUGGAUAGAAGAACCCCUGAUGCCGUCGAGCCAAGAAAAGUUUCUAAGUUUAGCUAAUGUUGCCCGUACCGUAAACCGACACAGGUGGGUGGGAUGAGUAUUCUAAGGCGCGUGGAAGAACUCUCUUUAAGGAACUCUGCAAAAUAGCACCGUAUCUUCGGUAUAAGGUGUGGUUAGCUUUGUAUUAGGAUUUACUCCGAAAGCAAGGAAACUUACAACAAAGAGUCCCUCCCGACUGUUUACCAAAAACACAGCACUCUGCUAACUCGUAAGAGGAUGUAUAGGGUGUGACGCCUGCCCGGUGCUCGAAGGUUAAUUGAUGGGGUUAGCAUUAGCGAAGCUCUUGAUCGAAGCCCGAGUAAACGGCGGCCGUAACUAUAACGGUCCUAAGGUAGCGAAAUUCCUUGUCGGUUAAAUACCGACCUGCAUGAAUGGCGUAACGAGAUGGGAGCUGUCUCAAAGAGGGAUCCAGUGAAAUUGUAGUGGAGGUGAAAAUUCCUCCUACCCGCGGCAAGACGGAAAGACCCCGUGGACCUUUACUACAGCUUGACACUGCUACUUGGAUAAGAAUGUGCAGGAUAGGUGGGAGGCUUUGAGUAUAUGACGCCAGUUGUAUAUGAGCCAUUGUUGAGAUACCACUCUUUCUUAUUUGGGUAGCUAACCAGCUUGAGUUAUCCUCAAGUGGGACAAUGUCUGGUGGGUAGUUUGACUGGGGCGGUCGCCUCCCAAAUAAUAACGGAGGCUUACAAAGGUUGGCUCAGAACGGUUGGAAAUCGUUCGUAGAGUAUAAAGGUAUAAGCCAGCUUAACUGCAAGACAUACAAGUCAAGCAGAGACGAAAGUCGGUCUUAGUGAUCCGGUGGUUCUGUGUGGAAGGGCCAUCGCUCAAAGGAUAAAAGGUACCCCGGGGAUAACAGGCUGAUCUCCCCCAAGAGCUCACAUCGACGGGGAGGUUUGGCACCUCGAUGUCGGCUCAUCGCAUCCUGGGGCUGGAGCAGGUCCCAAGGGUAUGGCUGUUCGCCAUUUAAAGCGGUACGCGAGCUGGGUUCAGAACGUCGUGAGACAGUUCGGUCCCUAUCUGCCGUGGGCGUAAGAAGAUUGAAGAGAUUUGACCCUAGUACGAGAGGACCGGGUUGAACAAACCACUGGUGUAGCUGUUGUUCUGCCAAGAGCAUCGCAGCGUAGCUAAGUUUGGAAAGGAUAAACGCUGAAAGCAUCUAAGCGUGAAGCCAACUCUAAGAUGAAUCUUCUCUAAGCUCUCUAGAAGACUACUAGUUUGAUAGGCUGGGUGUGUAAUGGAUGAAAGUCCUUUAGCUGACCAGUACUAAUAGAGCGUUUGGCUUAUCUUUAAUAAAGCAU